GGAUGUGGCUCAGCUUGGUAGAGCGCUCGGUUCGGGACCGAGAGGCCGUGGGUUCAAAUCCCGCCAUCC
Molecule: transfer RNA, 69 nt
Filed under: bovine gut metagenome
Rfam family: tRNA
About the family: Transfer RNA (tRNA) molecules are approximately 80 nucleotides in length. Their secondary structure includes four short double-helical elements and three loops (D, anti-codon, and T loops).
Source: RNAcentral